Molecule: ribosomal RNA, 395 nt
Filed under: uncultured bacterium
Lineage: Bacteria
Description: bacterial SSU rRNA
Rfam family: Bacterial small subunit ribosomal RNA
Source: RNAcentral
UAUUGGACAAUGGGGGUAACCCUGAUCCAGCGACGCCGCGUGUGUGAAGAAGUAUUUCGGUCUGUAAAGCUCUAUCAGCAGGGAAGAAAGAAAUGACGGUACCUGACUAAGAAGCCCCGGCUCACUACGUGCCAGCAGCCGCGGUAAUACGUAGGGGGCAAGCGUUAUCCGAAUUUACUGGGUGUAAAGGGUGCGUAGGUGGCAGGGCAAGUCAGAUGUGAAAGCCCGGGGCUCAACCCCGGUACUGCAUUUGAAACUGUCCAGCUGGAGUGCAGGAGAGGUAAGCGGAAUUCCUAGUGUAGCGGUGAAAUGCGUAGAUAUUAGGAGGAACACCAGUGGCGAAGGCGGCUUACUGGACUGUAACUGACACUGAGGCACGAAAGCGUGGGGAGCAA